CAGACUGCCGUGCCCGUAGUUGCCACCUGAGAGUUGUUCCUGAUGAGAGCCCAGCCAAAGGCGGCAAAGGUGCUGACGGUGAUCACACGUGUUUUGAAUGUGACUCAGCUGUCUGAAAAGGGCACCACUUCCCAUGUGGAGGCAGCAGGGGAGCGCACUUCUGAGGAACCUUAAUGAAGGGAUUUGAGUGCAUUCUCCGCAGCAGUUGAACCCAAAAAUAUAUUCAUUUGGACAGCAGUGGCAACAGCAACUUGCAACACCAAGAAGCAGUGACUGUAAGGGACUCAGCUGUAGCAGUGACGGAUCUGACUGAUGGGAUUCCUUCAGAACCAGAACCUGACUCUGGGCUUCUCUCAGCCACACGUCUCCCACUGGGAGUCAACACCACAACUAUCAUCAGCUGUUACCAACACCAUCAUCGUGCUGGGUGUGUUGACCUUUGCCCUCCAGCUGUGUUUAGUUCUGUUCUUCAUGCUGAGAUGUUGGAGGUUGGACAGCAAAGUACAAAAAGCUCUCAAACACCCAGACACUGUGCAAAAAGUCUUUGUCCCCUCAUCCUUCCAACUAGAUGUUCACAGACUGGCUAGCUAUCAGCUUUGUGAUGAUUCUGCUGCUUCAUCACCUGCAGAGUUGGUAGCAGUUGAAGAACAUGAACCCACCACAAGCUCUCUGUUUGUGCCUUCAAUACCCUGGGACCUUGUUCAGCGCUGACAGGCUCCUGAUCCUACUGCCAUUUACACAAUGUAAAUGAAAAUGUGAAUAUUGAAGUUUCACUUUAUGACAAAUAUACUGUAUGAAAUACUCUAUAUCACUUUGAGACAAUAUGCAAUCUAUGUGAAGUAAUAACAUCUGUCAGUUUUUAAAUGUAGCAAUAAUACUUUUACU
This is a long non-coding RNA of Thunnus maccoyii (southern bluefin tuna), 885 nucleotides long. RefSeq lists it as uncharacterized. NCBI's taxonomy places the organism in Eukaryota, Metazoa, Chordata, Actinopteri, Scombriformes, Scombridae. The transcript has 5 exons. The record is from RefSeq and is a predicted model, not a curated record.